GUGGAGGUGUAUGUCUGACCUCCACCUCAUAGCAUUCAGCCUUGGACUGUUGAUGCUGAUAAUGAUUCUCCUCCCGCCUUGUAAAGUUGAAUGAGGAGGUCAGACGCCCACACCAUGCCAUUCUUCCAUGUACAUAAUGCGGAUUUUAUUACUUGAAGGAGUUGUUAAAUACAUUUGAUAAUGUUCUCCACACCAGGCCUUUAAGUGUUUAAAACUAAAACCAGUUGCCAUGGAAUCUGUCCCAACUCACGGCAACUCCACGUGUGUCAGAGCAGAACAGGGUUUUCAGUGGCUGAUUUUUCAGAAGCAGAUCACCAGGAUUUUUUUCGAGGUGGCUGUGGGUGGACUUGAGCCUCUAACCUUUGGGUUAGCAGCCCCAAGCGCGUUAACAGUUUGCACCGCGCAGGGACUAAGAAAGACUAAGGCACAAAAGAAGGUGAAUUGUUUUUUCCUUUCCCCUUGGAAUGGAGAGAGCUUCUGACUGCUUCUCUAGCUGAAACUGAAAUUGAGAAAUAAAAGUUUAUCUUUUAUUCAUGUUAGAUAAUGUGUUUUUUUGGCUUUCUUGUCGGUGUAUAGCAUUUCUCACCUCCGACCCGAGAUCAUUUUUAGGUGUCGUUUCGAAUGCUAGUUAUUGCUAUAUUUGGUAAACAAGAUUAUUUUUAGAUUUUUUAAACCCUUGACAGUAAAUAUAAAAUGGUUCAGAUUCGGUGUCAUAACUUGGGUUUGGGUGUGUAGUUUGGGAAAAUGGAAUUUGAUGAGUCAUAUUUGAGACUUCUCAGGUAGUGUUCACUUUGGGUUACUGCCAGGAGCCAUCCCGAAAUAAAAAUUGUAGCUUAAAAAACAAAAGAAAACUGUAGCUUUUUUUUGCUGAGCUUCAUACAUAACAACUUUUUGAUUGGGGGAGGGGGAGGGGUUUGAGCUAAUUGUCAGAGGAGUCAGGUUGCUAUGGAGUUCGCUUUUUAUUUUAUUUUUUUUAAGACUUAGAGCUUUUUUAUAUUAAUAGGCAAAAUGUUGUGCAUAUCCUGCUCACAUGUAUCCAUACAUAAAAAAGUCAGCUGACAAUGUACAGGGUAGUGGGAAAUCUGCACAGAGCCAACCAUUUAUCAGCAUGCCAUCACUUCCCACUUCUGACAUUUCCAUUCUUUUCAAACAUUUGUCCAGUCUGGAAACCUUUGAGGCAGUCUUUGAUUUCCACAGUUUUAUCCCGUGGAACUGACAUUUUACCAAAUCUUACUGAUUUCUUUAUAACAGCAUAAUUGAGAUAUAAUUCACAUACCACACAAUUCAUCCAUUUAAAGUGUACAAUUCAGUGGUUUCAGCAUGUUCACAGAGCUGUGAAACCAUCACCACUGUCUCAUUUUGGACCAUUUUCAUGACUCCCCCAAAAGAAACCCUUACCCGUUCCCCUAGGCAUUAUUCCCCUCUCCCCCGAGCCCUGGGCACUCAUUAACCUAUUUUCUGUCUCCAUGGAUUUGUCUCUUCUGGACAUUUCAUACACAUGGAAUCAAAUGUGGCCUUUUGUGACUGGCUUCUUCCACUUAGCAUGUUUUCAGGGUUCAUCCAUGUUAUAGUAUGAAUCAGUAUUUAGUUCCUUUUUUUGUGGCUAUGCCAUGUUUAUUUUGAGACACAAGGUAAGAAUAGGAAGUAGAAACUAGGAACAUUGUUAGUGUAAUGCUUUAUAAAUUAGAAGGCUCAACUCGGCAAAGCUCCAGAGAGGUUAAGUGUCUUGCCCAGAGACAUAGAGCUAGGUAUAUACUGGGAGAACCAGAACUGUAGUUGAUUUUUACUGAAAUUUUUCCAGUCCCAUGUUCUUUCUGCUAGGUAUUAGAGCUAAUAUUCUCAGCUAAUUUUCUCUCCUCCUUAAAGCAAAUAUAAUACUCUUUCUGGAUUUGGGAAACCUGCUCUGUCUGCCUGGUUUCAGCCCACAGGAGUGAAAAAAAUCAUUCUGCUUCUUGGUAAAAUACCACUUUGCAAGAUGUGUUUGAUUAAUCAAUUGAUGAGAAAAUGGACUUUGAUUAGAGACUAGACUUUUAUAUUUCUUAAUUACUAGCAAUAAAGCAGCCUAAAUUAUGGCUUGUUGGGAAGCCUGGUGAGCUUAGUAAGGACCGCUGUGUGCCGUCCCUGUGUGCAUUUCCAUCUGGAAGGCGAGGCUGGGCCACAGCCCGCGGGGCUGAUGCUCCGGGCACCACCCUGUGCUGUCCCAAUCUUAACUCCUCUGCUCUGUGGGAGAAGGAGCAACACUGACUAAGCAAAACGAGGAGAAAACAUCUGAUGGUGGUUUCAGUUUACGAAGUUAGGCCUCCAGUUGGAGGUUCUUAAUCGCUGAGAGAACAGCAGGGAAUUAUAGAUCAGCUUUCCAACUUGAAGCUCCAGGAGCUUCGGCCUUACGCUCGCUUGGAUUUACUUUUGGCAACAUCGUUGGAAUGUAUCUGGCUCAGAACUAUGAAAUUCCAAACCUGGCCAAAAAACUUGAAGAAAUUAAGAAGGACUUGGAGGCCAAGAAGAAGCCACCUAGCUCAUGAGGUGACUCCACUGUCCGUGGAUACACCGAUCGGACCGUCCUUGAAGGUCUUCUCACCUUUGAACCAAAGGCUCCUGUUCCCAUCACAGCCUCGCCAGAUUCUUUGAUAGACCCUGAGUUGCCUUAGAGCAAAAAUGGGGUCACCAGUUAAGAGCGCCCCAUACCUUCCCCACAUCCUCACUUCUCCCCACCCUUCUUCCAGCUGCUUGGGAGACCCUAAGACUGGAUUAUGGUGCUAGAUCAGUAAACGCGAUCUUCAGUUAGUAGCCUCCUCUUUGUUCUUUGGAAUUUCUACUACCUUUUUCAAAAGAAAACUUGAUGAGGUUUAUAAAGCUGAUCAGAUACAAAUAAUGCUAAUUUCACAGUUACAGCAGUUAUAAUAGGUGCUUGGUAACCCUUUGGUAAUAAAUGAUGUUGUUUCAAAGUAAUUAAAAUUACUAUCUGGAAGCUGGUUUCUAAUGCAUUACCCAUUUAUUUUCUUCUGUGGUUAGGCAGCUCCAUGUUUGCUCAUUUAAGCAGUAAAUCAAUUUACCAUUCACUAACUGAGUAACUAUAUUCUGAGAAUGUUGUUAGAAUCUGGGGAAUUAAAAAUACAUAAAGCCGUGGUCCUCAUCCUCAGUGGAGUUCAGUCUGUUGAUCUGGCUCUUGUGCCUCAAAAGAAUCAUGCUCAGGGUGAGGUAUUACAAGUGCAUUUGAUGUUACUUGAUGAGAAAAUGAGAAGUUGUAAGGGAAAUUUUAGGCCCUUUCACACUGUUAAAAAAUACGUAUUUACAUAAUAACUUUAGAGAGAAUCUCAUAAGGAAAAUAUGGC
Molecule: RNA transcript, 3332 nt
Organism: Trichechus manatus latirostris (Florida manatee)
Lineage: Eukaryota; Metazoa; Chordata; Mammalia; Sirenia; Trichechidae
Gene: STMP1
Gene name: short transmembrane mitochondrial protein 1
Exons: 3
Source: RefSeq, a predicted model, not a curated record